UACGUAGGGGGCUAGCGUUGUCCGGAAUCAUUGGGCGUAAAGCGCGUGUAGGCGGCCCGGUAAGUCCGCUGUGAAAGUCGGGGGCUCAACCCUCGAAAGCCGGUGGAUACUGUCGGGCUCGAGUGCGGAAGAGGCGAGCGGAAUUCCUGGUGUAGCGGUGAAAUGCGCAGAUAUCAGGAGGAACACCGAUUGCGAAGGCAGCUCGCUGGGACGUUACUGACGCUGAGACGCGAAAGCGUGGGGAGCAAACAGG
This 253-nucleotide ribosomal RNA is filed under the name uncultured bacterium. RNAcentral describes it as "partial 16S ribosomal RNA". It matches the Rfam family "Bacterial small subunit ribosomal RNA", at positions 524 to 776 of the family's 1533-position model. The record is from RNAcentral.